RNAcentral lists this ribosomal RNA (425 nucleotides) under uncultured bacterium. Its description in RNAcentral is "partial 16S ribosomal RNA". It matches the Rfam family "Bacterial small subunit ribosomal RNA", at positions 354 to 796 of the family's 1533-position model. The record is from RNAcentral.
GUGGGGAAUCUUGCGCAAUGGGCGAAAGCCUGACGCAGCCAUGCCGCGUGAAUGAUGAAGGUCUUAGGAUUGUAAAAUUCUUUCACCGGGGACGAUAAUGACGGUACCCGGAGAAGAAGCCCCGGCUAACUUCGUGCCAGCAGCCGCGGUAAUACGAAGGGGGCUAGCGUUGCUCGGAAUUACUGGGCGUAAAGGGCGCGUAGGCGGAUCGUUAAGUCAGGGGUGAAAUCCCAGAGCUCAACUCUGGAACUGCCCUUGAUACUGGCGAUCUUGAGUGUGAGAGAGGUAUGUGGAACUCCGAGUGUAGAGGUGAAAUUCGUAGAUAUUCGGAAGAACACCAGUGGCGAAGGCGACAUACUGGCUCAUUACUGACGCUGAGGCGCGAAAGCGUGGGGAGCAAACAGGAUUAGAUACCCGUGUAGUCC